GCUUCAUAUACUUCUACAGUACUUGAUUCAAUGUCCUUGGUGGGACCAAUUUCAUUUACUUCUGAAGUCCUUAAUAUCUCUUUGAUUGGAUCUGAUGAUUUUGGCAGCUGCUCAAUAGUAACCUCUGAAACUUCCUUCAUGGCAUUAUCAAGAUCUUGCAAAUCUGAACUAGAAUGUAGAGGAUCUCUGGAUUCAUUCACAACUAGAUGCUGCUCAAUUGUGCUGGUAACCUCUGCACCAUUUUUGGGUUGAUUGAAAGGCAGGUCAAUAUCAUCAACUGUUCCAACUUCAAGAACUGGAAGCUCCUUGGUAGAACUGCUAAAACCCACGUCAUUUACUUCUGCUUGCCCUUUGUUUAAAUCUGAUGGUUUUGACCUAUCUUUGAUAUGUUCUUCUGAAGCUUGCUUCAUGGCCACAUGAAGAUCUUCCAGAGAUCUUGCUUCAA
Molecule: unclassified non-coding RNA, 445 nt
Filed under: Hevea brasiliensis (rubber tree)
Lineage: Eukaryota; Viridiplantae; Streptophyta; Magnoliopsida; Malpighiales; Euphorbiaceae
Source: RNAcentral